This 1435-nucleotide ribosomal RNA is filed under the name uncultured organism. Its description in RNAcentral is "16S ribosomal RNA". It matches the Rfam family "Bacterial small subunit ribosomal RNA". The record is from RNAcentral.
AACGCUAGCUACAGGCUUAACACAUGCAAGUCGAGGGGCAGCAUGGUCUUAGCUUGCUAAGGCCGAUGGCGACCGGCGCACGGGUGAGUAACACGUAUCCAACCUGCCGUCUACUCUUGGACAGCUUUCUGAAAGGAAGAUUAAUACAAGAUGGCAUCAUGAGUCCGCAUGUUCACAUGAUUAAAGGUAUUCCGGUAGACGAUGGGGAUGCGUUCCAUUAGAUAGUAGGCGGGGUAACGGCCCACCUAGUCUUCGAUGGAUAGGGGUUCUGAGAGGAAGGUCCCCCACAUUGGAACUGAGACACGGUCCAAACUCCUACGGGAGGCAGCAGUGAGGAAUAUUGGUCAAUGGGCGCAGGCCUGAACCAGCCAAGUAGCGUGAAGGAUGACUGCCCUAUGGGUUGUAAACUUCUUUUAUAAAGGAAUAAAGUCGGGUAUGGAUACCCGUUUGCAUGUACUUUAUGAAUAAGGAUCGGCUAACUCCGUGCCAGCAGCCGCGGUAAUACGGAGGAUCCGAGCGUUAUCCGGAUUUAUUGGGUUUAAAGGGAGCGUAGAUGGAUGUUUAAGUCAGUUGUGAAAGUUUGCAGCUCAACCGUAAAAUUGCAGUUGAUACUGGAUAUCUUGAGUGCAGUUGAGGCAGGCGGAAUUCGUGGUGUAGCGGUGAAAUGCUUAGAUAUCACGAAGAACUCCGAUUGCGAAGGCAGCCUGCUAAGCUGCAACUGACAUUGAGGCUCGAAAGUGUGGGUAUCAAACAGGAUUAGAUACCCUGGUAGUCCACACGGUAAACGAUGAAUACUCGCUGUUUGCGAUAUACAGCAAGCGGCCAAGCGAAAGCGUUAAGUAUUCCACCUGGGGAGUACGCCGGCAACGGUGAAACUCAAAGGAAUUGACGGGGGCCCGCACAAGCGGAGGAACAUGUGGUUUAAUUCGAUGAUACGCGAGGAACCUUACCCGGGCUUAAAUUGCAGAUGAAUUACGGUGAAAGCCGUAAGCCGCAAGGCAUCUGUGAAGGUGCUGCAUGGUUGUCGUCAACUCGUGCCGUGAGGUGUCGGCUUAAGUGCCAUAACGAGCGCAACCCUUGUUGUCAGUUACUAACAGGUUCCGCUGAGGACUCUGACAAGACUGCCAUCGUAAGAUGUGAGGAAGGUGGGGAUGACGUCAAAUCAGCACGGCCCUUACGUCCGGGGCUACACACGUGUUACAAUGGGGGGUACAGAGGGCCGCUACCACGCGAGUGGAUGCCAAUCCCCAAAACCUCUCUCAGUUCGGACUGGAGUCUGCAACCCGACUCCACGAAGCUGGAUUCGCUAGUAAUCGCGCAUCAGCCACGGCGCGGUGAAUACGUUCCCGGGCCUUGUACACACCGCCCGUCAAGCCAUGGGAGCCGGGGGUACCUGAAGUGCGUAACCGCGAGGAGCGCCCUAGGGUAAAACUGG